This 80-nucleotide transfer RNA is filed under the name Candidatus Sericytochromatia bacterium. RNAcentral's name for it is "tRNA-Leu". It matches the Rfam family "tRNA". From Rfam's summary of the family: Transfer RNA (tRNA) molecules are approximately 80 nucleotides in length. Lineage: Bacteria; Bacillati; Candidatus Sericytochromatia. The record is from RNAcentral.
GUCCCUGUGGCGUAACAGGUAGCCGCAUCUGCCUUAAGAGCAGACGUUUAUUCGUGGAGGUUCGAAUCCUCUCAGGGACA